CUAUAAGUGUAGGUUAUAGGUUUAGGUUAAGGUUGUUUUUCUUUUCAUUUGUCUGGAUCACCUCUCAUAUGUUCUCUCUCUUUUCAUUUAUUUUUUUCCAUAUGAUUGUUUGUGUUUGGAUAGAUGCAGUUUAUGUUUGGAUGAAUGUAGUUUAUGUCUGGAUGAAUUUACGUAGUUUGGGUUUAGAUGGAUGUGAAUGUGAAUAUGAUGAAAUAUAUUAUAUAACAGGUGUAUAUCAGGAAGAAUAUGAUGAAUUAUAUUCUAACAGGUGUAUAUCAGGAAAUUUGAGAUGGAAUAUUUUU
This is a long non-coding RNA of Magnolia sinica, 302 nucleotides long. RefSeq lists it as uncharacterized. The transcript is spliced from 2 exons. NCBI's taxonomy places the organism in Eukaryota, Viridiplantae, Streptophyta, Magnoliopsida, Magnoliales, Magnoliaceae. The record is from RefSeq and is a predicted model, not a curated record.